UACAGAGGGGGCAAGCGUUAUUCGGAAUUAUUGGGCGUAAAGGGCGCGUAGGCGGCCUUGCAAGUGGCGGGUGAAAUCCCUCGGCUUAACCGAGGAACUGCCUGCCAGACUGCAAGGCUCGAGGGCAGGAGAGGUUGAUGGAAUUCUGUGUGGAGCGGUGAAAUGCGUUGAUCUACAGAGGAACACCAAAAAAGGCGAAGGCAGUCAACUAUUCUGUUCCUGACAUUGAGGCAUGAAAGCGUGGGGAGCAAACCGG
RNAcentral lists this ribosomal RNA (256 nucleotides) under uncultured bacterium. RNAcentral describes it as "partial 16S ribosomal RNA". It matches the Rfam family "Bacterial small subunit ribosomal RNA", at positions 524 to 776 of the family's 1533-position model. The record is from RNAcentral.